Molecule: transfer RNA, 73 nt
Filed under: Camelus bactrianus (Bactrian camel)
Lineage: Eukaryota; Metazoa; Chordata; Mammalia; Artiodactyla; Camelidae
Also listed under: 1 other name
Rfam family: tRNA
About the family: Transfer RNA (tRNA) molecules are approximately 80 nucleotides in length. Their secondary structure includes four short double-helical elements and three loops (D, anti-codon, and T loops).
Source: Rfam by way of RNAcentral
GAGGGUAUAGCUCAAGUGGUAGAGCGCAUGCUUAGCAUGCGUGAGGUGCUGAGUUUAAUCCCCAGUACCUCCU